This 124-nucleotide small RNA is filed under the name Marmota monax (woodchuck). Lineage: Eukaryota; Metazoa; Chordata; Mammalia; Rodentia; Sciuridae. The record is from RNAcentral.
GCUGGGCAUGGUGGCGCAUGCCUGUAACCCCAGCUGCUCAGGAGGCUGAGGCAGGAGGAUUGUGAGUUCAAAGAUGGCCUCUCAAAAGUAAGGCACUAAGCAACUCAGUGACAUCCUGACUCUA